UACAGAGGGUGCGAGCGUUAAUCGGAAUUACUGGGCGUAAAGCGCGCGUAGGCGGCUUUGCAAGUCGGGUGUGAAAUCCCCAGGCUUAACCUGGGAACUGCAUUCGAGACUGCAUUGCUAGAGUAUGGGAGAGGGAAGUGGAAUUUCCGGUGUAGCGGUGAAAUGCGUAGAUAUCGGAAGGAACAUCAGUGGCGAAAGCGGCUUCCUGGACCGAUUACUGACGCUGAGGCGCGAAAGCUAGGGGAGCAAACGGG
RNAcentral lists this ribosomal RNA (254 nucleotides) under uncultured bacterium. RNAcentral's name for it is "partial 16S ribosomal RNA". It matches the Rfam family "Bacterial small subunit ribosomal RNA", at positions 524 to 776 of the family's 1533-position model. The record is from RNAcentral.